This is a non-coding RNA of Pelobates cultripes (western spadefoot toad), 79 nucleotides long. Lineage: Eukaryota; Metazoa; Chordata; Amphibia; Anura; Pelobatidae. The record is from the annotation of a GenBank genome assembly.
CCCCAGAUGUUGCUGAACUACAACUCCCAUGAUUCUUUCAAUGAAACAGAUAGGAGUUGUAGUUCAGCAACAUCUGGGG